Molecule: long non-coding RNA, 12392 nt
Organism: Monodelphis domestica (gray short-tailed opossum)
Lineage: Eukaryota; Metazoa; Chordata; Mammalia; Didelphimorphia; Didelphidae
Source: RefSeq, a predicted model, not a curated record
UAGGGAAGGGGAGGAAGGGAAUGAGAUUUUAUAUAGUGCCUACUAUGGGCAGGUUAUGCAUAUUUUACAAAUACUGUAUCAUUUAAUCCUCACAACAACCCUUUGAGGUAUAAAGAAGGGUUGGAGAGGAAGCAAAGACUAGGUACUACAGAACGAGGCACUGAACUCUUAGAGAAAGGAGAGAAAAUGUCCUGAGGACUGUCAUCCAAGUCCAGUAGCAAGACAAAAGUCAGGAUGACUACUGAUGGCCCAGGAUGCAGUGAAUGACCUUGGCAUCUUCAAUAUCUCACCAAGUUCUAUGCACCUGCUUCAGCCAUCUUCAUGACUGUUGGAACAAUUGUUCUCAUCCACUUGUUUUCCUGGGGAAAGUCUUCACAUGCAUGGGGUAGACACCCCCCAAGUCACUGAUAGGCUUGAAGCUUGUUGGUUAUCCAUGUGCUAGUUUUCCUGGGGUGUAGUUGACACACACGCUACAGCUUCAGGAAGCCACAGGUGAGAGCAGGAUGAAAGGUGACACCAACAGUGAAUGAACAGCCCUGAACUCAGGAAGCCCUCACCUCAGAGUCCUCCAUGAACACCCCAUCAAGAGAUGCUGGGGCUGGGCAAAUAGACCUGAGAAUCAUCUUAAUAGAGCCAUUGACUGAGAGAUAAUGAAAUCAAGUAAAACAGUAGAGCAGAAGAAGAGAAAAGGAAUGAGAACAAAGCCUUAGGCAUCAUUUAGAGUCAUGACAUGGAUAAGUAUUCAGUUAAAGACACUGAGAGGAGCAGUCAGACCAGAAAAAGGAGAAGCAGGAAAGAGUUGUAAUAACCCCAAAAGAAGGGAGUAACAAUGCAAAGAGAGUGAUCAACAGUAUCUGUAGCAGGCAGAAAGGUUAAGCAAAGGGUGAAUCAAAAGAAACGCCCAUUAGAGAUGGAGAUUAAGGCCACUGAUGACUUCGGAGAGAGGUUUCACUUGAAUUAUGAAGUCUGAGGCCAGAGCAAGAGAGUUAGGAAGCAGGUAAGAGGGAAGGCAGGUGAGGCACUGGGCUGUAGGAGCCUCCUCAAGAUGUUAGCCAUGAGAGGGAGGAGAGGUAUGGGAUGAUGGCUAUCAGGGAUGGAUGGAUCAAAUAAGGGGUUCAUUUUUUUGCAGAUGGGGAGACAUGGGUAUGUUUUUAGGCAGCAGGGAAGUAACCUUAGUAAAAAUGGAGUGAUCGCACUGAUGUGGGUGUUCUCUCCAAAGGUGCACACUGUAACCUAUUCACACUUUUUAAUACUGUGUCAUUCUCCUAUAAAUACCCCUACUGCAUUAUUGGUAGAACAUCAGUGAUGAAAGAAGGGUUUAAAUGUCAGAAGUAUUAUGGCAAUGUUGAAUAUGCUAAAUAAAUUUCCGAAAGCAAUCCAAACUACUUUUCCCUUCCUAUGAGGUCUAGACACUAGGUGGCGCAGUGGCUAGAGAACAGGAAGUGGAGUCAUGAAUGAGUUCAAAUGCUUACUCACAUGUAAUAGCUUUGUGACCCUGGGUAAGUCAACCUUUGUUUGCCUCUGUUUACUCAUCUGUCAAAUGGAGAUAAUAAAAGAACCUACCUCACAGGAUGUUGUGAGGACCAAAUGAGAUAAUAUUUGUGAAGCAUUUUUCAACUCUUACAGGUAUUACAUAAAUGUUAGUUGCUAUUUUUACUUCAUUGUUGAUCUGCAAUACCUGUCCAAGAUAUAUCUACUAAUUCUGUAUGGAUAUUAGACCAAUUUAUUUCAUGUAACAAUUGAUCUCAUUGAGGAAGUCCUAUUAGUAUUCUGGAUCUUGAUGCAAUCAACACAAUGUCAUUCACAUAAUGGGACAUUUGAAGGAUUUUGCCAUCUAUAGAAAAUUCCUCUUCCGUUUGGACUUUUUAGUCCAAAUGAUGUCAUCCUCUUAUAAUAGCAAAAGUUCACUGGUAUGCAUAUUUUCUGUUUUAUCUCUUAUUUGAUAUCAAUAACCAGAAGAUCAUUGAAUGAAGUUCUCUCUAUGGUUGCUCCUACUAAUGAAUCUUGAAUAAUCUUAGCAUAUGAAUAAAAAUUAAUCCAUUAGUAGAAAUCACUUCCAGCUGGGAUAGACAAGCACGAUUUCAUGGAAGAAGUAAGAUUUGUGCAAGGUGUUCUAUUAAGGAGAAAUAAAAGUUUGAUGGGCCUGGUAAAGGCAAAGGGAAUCAGAGGAUCCCAAAAUUGCUGGCUAGAUAAACAGACAUGAUACAUUUAUUUAGACUAAAGGGAUGAUGUAGAGGCAUAGCAAGAAAUAAAGUCAGAAAGUAUUGAUGAAGUAACUCAAUGAUCUGCCCAUCCAAUUACCAGAAAGAUAAUCUUUAGGCUAGAUUGUGGAAAGCCUUGAAGGCCAGUUGACAUUUGAUUACAGAGAUAGUUUGGAUAUAUUUCAUGACCAUCACCCACAAUAAUUUUUUAAGCAUCCAAAUGCUACUUUAUUAAUGUUGUACUCAAGCAAAUACACUGGUCCAUAUCACAUAGAUCACAAAAUCAUAAGCUUAAAGAUGAAAGGGCCCUUAAAAUCAUCUAACCUAAAUCUCUCAUUUUCAGAUGGAUAUAUAGUCUUUUUUGUAAAUAAACCUAUCGACUUUCUUUUAAAAACCAUGUAAAUAUAUACUCUUACCUUUUGUUUUAUAAUUGAUACUAAAUGUUGGUUCCAGGGCAAAAGAGCAGUAGGCAAUUGAAGUUAAGUGACUUGCCCCAGGACACGCUGUAAGAGAAUGUCUGAGGACAAAUUUGAACCCAGGACCUCCUGCCUCCAGACCAUUACUCUAACCACUGAAUUACAUAGCUUCACCUUCUCUAAAGGUCUUAACACUACCACACUAAUUUUUAUAGAUAUGGUGGUGAUGAUAGAGAUGACACUACUAUGAGUUUACAUGUAUAAAACCAAUUUAUAGUUAUAAAGCACUCAUAUUAAUGAUCAAAUUUGAUCCUCACAAUAAACCAAAUAUUCUUUGCUUCAGAGAGGGGUAAAAACUUUUGAAUAAAGAAUUUAAAUGAUAUGUCUGAGGUUAUACAGCUAGUUAGCAGCAGAGUAAGGACUUGAAUUCUGAUCUAAGUGCAAGGCCAGAGUUCUUUUCAUUCUACUUUCAUAUGUAUUAACUGACUACAUAUUCAAUGUAGGUAGUUCAAACAUUGACACUCUUUUAAAGAAAAAAAAAACCCUGAAAAGUUAUUAUAAGACUUGUCCAAGGUCUCAUGGUACUAGCAGAUACAAGAUAGCUAAAGGGUUUACAAAUAUAUCAAACAGGUAAUUAGUAUUUUUUCCUGAAAAGUUUUUUUUUUAUUUAACUAACAUUAUAAAUAUAUUGAAAAACAUAAAACUAUGAAAAUAUAAAAAGUUAGUCCUGGCUUCUUCACAUAGCAUUGGCCAGCUGUUGCUAUUAAACUGCAAAUUCCACAGGUAUUUACAGAAUUGUUUGUUACAUUAGGUCAAAAUUUGUUUCCUGGUCCAAAGUUUAAAUCAGGCAUAAGGUUGAUCUUUUAGUUGAGUAUUUUCCAUUUAUAUAUCUCAUAAUGGCAGGCACUACUUGAGUCUGAUCAGACUUGGUAUAAAAUCAAAAGUUAGAACUAGUUUUUGGUUUCCUUAACUUGUCUAUUCUCAGACUCACUGAAAGGAUUUAGAUUCUCUUAAAUGAAUUGAGAGCUCUGCUGAGGGAGCCCCAAGAUGUCUUAGGAAAGCCAUUGUCUGAGAUACUAGAGCUCUGGACUUGUCUGAAACCAGAUCAAGGUUGUUUCAGCACUGCCAGGUGCCUAUAAUUUUGCCUUUAUUUCAAUAAAGAAGUAGAUAAGAGGGCUAUUUUUCGCUUAUUACAUGAAUGAGUUUUAGGGUUUUUUAAAUUUAAAAAAUUCUUUUUUUCUUAGUAAAAACUCCAAGACAGAAGGGCAAGGGAUAAGGAAACCUGGUUAAGUGACUUGCCCAGGGUCACACAGCUAAGAAGUGAGGCCACAUCUGAACCCAGGUCCUCCUGACUCCAGGCCUGGUACUAUGGAAGAGGAAUGAAGAAAGGGAGGAUUUACAGGACAAGCCAGACAUGCAGACCAAGGUGACUGAUCUGUCUGUCAAUCAAGGUGAAGAUUCCAAAUGGAAUGUUCCCAGAAGAGGCCGUUGGAAGCUGGCCAGGGGGAGGAACUGAUUCUCUCUCUUGGGGGUUCCUGACCAAGGGAGAAACCUCUUCUCUGGGUUCCUGACCAAAAGAGACUGACUUUUCCUGACCUAGGCAGAGAGAGAGAGAGAGACCUCUGUGGCUUUUAACAGAGUCUGGACUUGAAUUACUCAAGCAGAGAUUAUCUGACUAAAGAAAGAAGAAAAGAAGAAAGAUAUUUGUCCUCUAAACUCUCUGAUUGUCCCUGAGUCACAGCUAUGGCUGAACUGACAUUUCCCAUACCCUCCUAAUUCUCCUUGUAGAUUAGGGACACCCCUAUCCCACUUACCUUCAAUUUCCAUCCUGUCCUAUCAUUCCCAAUAAACCCCUUUACCUGAGAAUAGAAGAGUAAAGAAUAUUUCUCUGAAAUCUCAUAGUUCCCCUGAGUUACUUAGAAGGUGGCUGACUAAGACCGGGGGAGGGGAAAGAGAGGCAAAAGGGCUGGGUGAAACCUAGGAGGUAAAGGGAGGAAGAGGGUAGGAAAUAUCUUGACUUAUUAGCCAUUAGUGAUCUAUAGGCAGCUCCAGAGAAAUCCUCUUUAGCAGAAUCUCUCAUCAAUCUCCUUUGUAAUUAGGCAGCCCUCAGGUUUCCCUAGUAGCUCUCUAGUCAUAGCAGCCAGAGUAUAUUCCAGUUAUUACAACCAGAAAUAUAGUUCCACACACAGAUUAUUAUUUUAUUACAGUACUCUAUCCCUUGUUCCACCUCCCUGCCCCUCACAUGCCUGAGUCUUAACAACUUUAUCACUUCCUACCUAUGUGAUCAUAGGCAAGUCACUUAAUCUCUCUGAGGCUCAGUUUCUUCACCUGUAAUAUAAGGGACUUGAAUGAGGUGAACUCUGAAGUUCCUUCCAACUUUAGAUUCUAUGAACUCAAGAUCACUCCAAGUCAUUGCUUAUUAUAUUAAGUAAUCCAAAAUAUUUGGUGAACAAAAAAGUUGUAAUGGUAAACAAGUAUAAACAGCCAAACAUGUUAAUUUUCAUUUUUUUGCAUUUACUGAGUACAUCAUAUAUGUUUAACCAAUAACACUGGAUAUCGGUCAAAAUUAAUCAUAACUGAAAAGUCAGCUUAUUGGCUUAGUCACUCAAUGCAUAAGCAUAAUCAGUUGACAGUCUGUUGGCAGAAUUCUGGAAAAAUAAUGUGUCCAUUUAUAUUUAAAAUUUUGUUUUAAUGAUUAAUUUUUAGGUUGUAUAAAAGAUAUCCAGAUUUUGGUCCUAUCAUCCAAAUACUUUAAUACUUGGAUAAAUCUGUACCUUCAAUGAAGUGGGAACUCCAUCUAAGAAAGCAGAGUGGUACUCCUAGAUUACAUGGGUCACUUGUGUCUCAUAUAAUGAAGUAGCCUUCCUCCAGAGCCUGAGGAGCUAGGAUGAUGGGGUUGCCCUCUAUAGUAAGAGGGAAGGUUGGAGGAGGGAUGAAGGGGUUGGAAGAGCCAUUGAGGAGACUGAUAAAGGAGGCAAAGUAAAAUUGUCUAGCAGCAGUGAGGGCCCACCUGAGGUUAUGUAACAAGAUUUUAGUGGACCCAGUCAGAAUGCUUGUGUGAUUUUUCUCCACCUCUGUUCAGUAGCAUAUGUGUAGGACCAAAGGUGAUGAAUAACAAUAGUGAUACAAAGCUGAGACUUGGCUGGACAUAAUUGGUGACAUGAUAAGAGGUCUAGGAAUUCAGGAGAGAAGGGCAGUAUAGAAAUGAACUGGUUCACUAAGGAGUUAAGACAGGAAGAAGAGGAGAGUGGCUAAUGGAGGGGAAAUGGCCUAGGAGAGAAGUAAGGGGUCGAGGACUUGGAAGAUGUGGUGCAGAAAAAGAACAAGAUGAUAUAGAGGAAGACCUGUCCUCCCACAAAUCCUCAAUGGGGGGGCCAACUAUGCAGGGGGACUUAUUUUGGAUCAUCUGGAUUUAAAGAGUGAUUUAAAGAUGCUGGCUAACAUAUGGACAGCCUGAGAUCAUAUUAAUGAAAUGUUAGACGGCCUCCAAGUACAUAUGGAGUACCUAUGGAGGUACUAUGUUGGAGGUACUAUGUACCUCCAAGUACAUAGAUCCUUUAUGGAGGAGCUAUGGGGGGAACAAGGACAAGAGGGCAUGGAUAGGUUGUGAAUAAGCACCACCAAAGGAAAUAUCCACAUCAAUGAAAUCACAUAUCCACUGAAGAACAAAUAUGCAAAACUAGCAAAUCUGAAGAAACUAGAAAGCAAAAAUCAAGAUUUGUUUGUCAAUGAAACAUACAUAAAACUAGUUGAGUACUAAAUUCCAAAUACAGGAGAAAUGCAAAUACAAUAAUAGCUCCAAUCUGGGUUUAUUUCCAGUGAUCCUGAAGCACAGAACUACAAGUAAACUUAUUUUUUUUAAAAUUCCAUAGUUCUAACAAAAUUAUGCAGGUGUUUAUAAAUAAAACAGAAUACAACCCCCCUCCCCCUUGAAUUUUAAAAAGUAAAAUGUGUUGAACUGAAAUACCCAUUCCCCUUGGAAACAAAAAACCAAAAAACUUAACAAAUGAUUAAAUGAAAGUUGUUAUGAAACAUUUAAUUUGGUGAAUUUACCUAAAUGCUUUUAUACAUUAAAAGAUCUAUGAUUUCACGAAUGUGCAUAUAGUUUUCAUCAAAACAUCACAACCUUCCCACUUCUUAGUAGACAGGUUGCUGUGGCCAAAUCAUUCCUCUCCUUGUGACUAGCCUUUUAAUGAAAUAUAGUUUGAUUUUGGGUAGUCACUGAACAACAUUCUGCUUCUGGGUCCAAAUUUGAAGCUUUUCUCCUUUAGUAGGACUUCCAUAGCUUAAGCUCUACUGCCAGAGCAUUCAAGAACAUAGGCUUACCAUGUUCAAAUGAGGCACAAGAGGGGGAUUUUAAUGGAAAAUUACCUCUAAUACUAUUUCCAGUUAUAUAAUACUUAUUGAUAGCAAAUAGUCACAUAUGUUUCACUAAGUAGUUUGUAAUCUUUUAGAUUUAGAAUAUAAUUAAUUUUUAAAAGAAUUAAAAAAAAUUUAUCCUAUUAUUUGGUAUCAUCAGCAGAAUGAAAUUUAAAGUGGAUUUUAAAAGUUUAUUGCAAAAGUUUUAGUGAAGUUUGGGGGAGAGGAAGUUCCUUCUCCUUGAGAAAGAGUUGAUAAAAAUCCCUCAAUUAAUUUCACUGUGAGAGAUAUAAAAGAAACAUAAAACAUGAUCCUUGACUCAAAGAGUCUCGUAUCACCAGCUAGAAUGGAAACCAACACAAAAACUGUUUUAAAACAAUUAAGUGCUGAACCUUGAUAUGCUCAAUGUAAAAAGUCAGGAUGGGAAUUUAAGGAACUUAAAGAGGAAUCUUUGUACUUCAUACACAACUCUUUACAUUCAGAGGUAUAUGAAUUGUUUGGGACAGAAAUAAUUUUUGACAAUAAUGGUCAUGUUAUAUAUGCACAACUGACACUAAAGUGAACUCAGAAAGUCUAACUUUGAUGUGAUGAUACUGGACUUAAUAGGUUUCUUCACCUUUAAUUAGUUCUUUGUCAGCAGAAUACUGAGUUUUGUGGCACACAUAUGUUUCAUGGCUCUUUUGUUAUAUUUUAAUUCUUUGGGUUUUAAGAAAGGCUAUCAUUUCAGGGAAACAAAAAAGAGCACACGUCAAAGACUGUUAGAGUUAUUGCUGUGACUGGUGGCACAGGAAAGUCAAAUAUUUCAAGAAUCAUAAAAGAGGAUAAGACACACUGAAGUGCAGACAAAAGUGAAGUUGGAAAUGAAAUAUUAAAUACUAAAAACAAGGUUUCACAUUAAUCAGAAAAUAAUCUUAACAUACAUUUUAAAGUAUUGUAAACACAGGUUGAAGUUCUAUAAAUAUAGCUUUAGCUCUGAGUGAAAUUUUAUGACUGAAUAUGAAAUGCUUGGGAAAAAAAGAGCUCUGUGAAGGAAAUGCUAAGAUGUAUUCAGUUAAUGAACAAAAGUAAUAGCAAUUGAUAGUGUCUCCAAAGAAAAGAAACCUAUCAAAAAGCAAUGUAGAGGGGGCAGCUGGGUAGCUCAGUGGAUUGAGAGCCAGGCCUAGAGACGGGAGGUCCUAGGUUCAAAUCUGACCUCAGACACUUCCUAGCUGUGUGACCCUGGGCAAGUCACUUGACCCCCAUUGCCUAGCCCUUACCACUCUUCUGCCUUGGAACCAAUACACAGUAUUGACUCCAAGACGGAAGGUAAGGAUUUAAAAAAAAAAUAGCAAUGUAGAAAGUUUACUAGCAGUUGGCUGCUAUAAGAAAAACUGCAGUAGUGCAAAGAUUAAAAAAAAUCUUUCCCCCCUUUGUUUUAGUGUUUUUAGCCCAUGUGUACUGAUGGCAAAUAGUCUAAAAUGCCUUUUCACUCAAAACUUUAGUUAUGCAUGAAAAUAACAUAUGCAGCAUAUAUGUAGUUUUAAUAUUUUUGAAAUUUGCAUUCAAUUUUCCUGCCCACAAGAUGUAUUAACUUAGCACUAACAAAAAAAUAUUAGCCCUUUAAUCUAUGUUCCCAUCUAUCUGAAGAGCUGUUUGUAAUGGAACUGAAUAAAACAGGGUAACACAAAAAUGUUCAAUAAGAAAUUGCCAUUUCUAUUUUUGCUAUUGUUUAGUCAUUUUUCAAGUGGGUCUUACUCUUUCUGACUCCUUUUGGGGUUUUCUUGGUUAAGAUAUUGGAGUGGUUUGCCUUUCUAGCUCAUCUGACAGAGGAGGAACUGAAGCAAAUAAGGUUAAGUGACUUAACUAAAGUCAUAUAGCUAAUAAGUGUCUAAGGCCAGAUAUGUAUUAAGGAAGAAAAGUCUUUCUGACUCCAGGUCUGGCACUCUAUCCACUGCACCAAUCUUUUCUAUAUUAAUGAUAAAGAAAAUCUCCCAAGUAUAAUCUAUUUUGACAUUUUCAGAGUACUAUUUGUUGGUCUGUUCUUUUUUUUUUUAAAUAUAUUUUAUUUGAUCAUUUCCAAGCAUUAUUCGUUAAAGACAUAGAUCAUUUUCUUUUCCUCCCCCCCCCACCCCCCAUAGCCGACGCGUAAGUCCACUGGGCAUUAGAUGUUUUCUUGAUUUGAACCCAUUGCUUUGUUGAUAGUAUUUGCAUUAGAGUGUUCAUUUAGAGUCUCUCCUCUGUCAUGUCCCCUCAACCUCUGUAUUCAGGCAGUUGCUUUUUCUCGGUGUUUCCACUCCCAUAGUUUAUCCUUUGCUUAUGAAUGGUGUUUUUUUCUCCUGGAUCCCUGCAAGUUGUUCAGGGACAUUACACCACUACUAAUGGAGAAGUCCAUUACGUUCGAUUAUACCACAGUGUAUUAGUCUCUGUGUGAUCUGUUCUUUUGUAAGAGAAACUGGGAUAACAGUUCCAUGCUUCAUGAUUACUGUUAAACCAAGUACUACUACUAGGAAAGAAGAAAACACUUAUUAACUGCCUUACUAUUUGUCAGAUACUGUGUUAAGCACUUUACAAAUAUGAUUCCAUUUGGUCUUCACAAUCACCCUACAAUACAGAUGCUAUCAUUAUCCCAAUUUUACAUCUGAAGAAACUGAAGCAAAAAGAGGUUCAAUGACUUUCUAGGGUCAUACAACUAAUAAGUUUCUUGAACCUUGAUUUGAACUCAGAUGUUCCUGACUCCAGGCCCAAUGCUCUAUUCCCCUUAAAAGACAUACAUAUAUACUUCUUUUUCUUUUUCUUUGCUAUACAAUUAUUUGUUUUAAAUCCUGCUUAACUAGUACUAACUCCAAUUUUUAUAUUUAGCGUGGAAGAUAAAAUAGUAAGGAGGAGUAUUCUAUGUUAGUUUAUAUUAUAUAACUAAAUUAACCAACUGCCACCAAUCAUUAAAAAUUAUAUGCCAUUGUUUUGUAAUAUAAAUUAUAGCCUAUUAGACACUGAAUGAAAUUCAACUUGUAUAAAAUACUAUGUCAGUCUUGGGCAAAACUGAAAGAAAAGUUUUAAAAUUUAGAAAUCUGGGGGCGGAGUCAAGAUGGUGGUUUAGAAGCAGCAGAAGUUCAGACCUCUGAAAACCCUUCCUUACCGAUCACAAACUGACUGCUUCUAGGAGGCUGAAAAUCAAACCUAACAACAAGACAGAGCCAAGGAACCCUCCUGCUGGACUCAAUCCAAAAGGUACACCCACCAAAACCCAGAAUCUGAGAACACUCAGGUUUAAGGGAAAGGCAGAAGGAAGGUCCCAAGACUCCUCCCCCAUUCCCACCUAAAGUGCUAAGCCUCCAGCAGCAGUGGGAACCUCUGGGCGGGCAAAGGCAAUUUUUUUCUUAUUUUUUUAAUUUCUGGAGGGUGUACCUUGUGGACAGGGCUGUGCCAGGCUCAGAGCAUUGAACACAGGUGGCCGGGAAGGAGCUGGAGAGGGAGUGCAGAGCUGGCAGCCUGGACAGAGCUAUGAAGACCCUCCAUAUUGCUCUAGCCUUCCAGGAGGUUUGGGCCUUAGGGUGCACCCAGCCCAACCCAGAUGAACUUAAUCCCAUCAAAAGUCUUCAGAGGUCAGGGAAGUCCAAACUCCAACAACCCUCCCUCACAGACUUCUGGACUUUAAUUUAAUCCAAUCAAAAGCCUCCAGAGGAUAGGGAAGCUCAAACUACAACAUCCCUCCCCCACAGACUGCAGGGAGAAACCUUCUGUCAAAGCUCCAAGAGGGGAGACUGACAAAAACCCCCAAAACCAAAAAAAUGAGAGGAGCAAGAGCACAGACUAAUUCGGGGAGCAAAGAAAGGGUAAAUAUGAGCAAACAACAGAAAAAGAAGAAAGAAAUUACAAUACACAGCUUCUGUAAAGGUAACGAGCAAAGAGAGAACAGAACAGAGGGAGAGGGAUCAGCAAAGGAAAAAUCAGAAAUCCCAGCGAAUCGGAUACAGGCUUUGGAAGAACUCAAAACACAAUUAAGAUAGGCUGAAGACAAUUGGGAAAAGAACUUAAAAACUAAAUAAGUCAUCUGGAAACAGAAAAUACUGUUUUGAAAGCCAAAAUCAACCAGCUUGAAAAUGAGGCAAAGGAGAUGAAAGAUGAGGGAAAGAGGAUGAAAGAUGACCUCCAAAGAAAAUCAGACCAGAAGAAGAAGGAUGACCAAAAAUCCAGGGAUGAAAUCCAGUCUUUAAGAAUCAGAAUACAACACCUAGAAUUAAGUGACCUCACAAGGCAGCAGGACACUAUAAAAGAAAACCAAAAAUGAAAAAAUUGAAAAAAAUAUAAAGCAUCUCAUUCACAAAACAGAAGAUUUAGAAAAUCGUUCGAGGAGAGACAAUUUAAGAAUCAUUGGUCUACCAGAAGACCAUGACCAAAAAAAAAAAAAGCCUGGACAUUAUACUACAGGAAAUUAUUCAAGAAAACUGCCCUGAUAUUCUAGAACAAGAGGGAAAAGUGGAGAUUGAAAGAAUCCACAGAUCACCUCCUGUACAACACCCAGGAAUGUUAUAGUCAAAUUCAAGACUAUCAUACCAAAGAAAAAGUAUUACAAGCUGCCAAGAAAAAGUCAUUCAGAUGCCAUGCAACCACAGUGAGGAUAACACAGGAUCUGGCUGCAUCUACAUUGAAAGACUAAAAGGCAUGGAAUAUGAUAUUCUGGAAAGCAAGGGAACUAGGUCUACAACCAAGAAUCAACUACCCAGCAAAACUGACUAUAUUCUUACAGGGGAAAGUAUGGCCAUUCAACAAAAUAGAAGAAUUCCAAGAAUUUGUAAAGAAAAGACCAGACCUGAACAGAAAAUUUGAUAUCCAAGCACAGAACUCGAGAGAAUCAUCAAAAGGUAAUUUUAAAAAGGGGGGAAAAAGAAAAACAAAACAACAACAACAACAACAACAAAAUUUUUAAGAGACUCAAUAAGUCAAAAUAUGUAUCCCUGUAAGAAAAUAGGUCAUUGGUAAUGCUUAAAAACUGUUGCUAUCACCUGGGCUGCUAGAAGAAUUACACUUAGAGGGAACAGUGACAAACUGUAUAGGAUGAAAGGACAAGACAUAAAUAGGUAUAUAGAUAUAUGUAUGCAUAAAUACAUAAGCAUGUGUGUAUAUAUAUAUAUAUAUAUAGACAUAUAUAUAUACAACUAGAGCUUAAAAAAGAGGUCAAUUCUAAAAGAAAUGGGAAAAGAAACAAAAGGGGGUAAAUUUAUAUGUCACAAAGAAGCUCAUAGCGGGAGGGGGGGAAGAACAUCAAUACACUGGAAGGGUAAAGAGGUUGGAGACAGGAAAUACUCAACUCUUACAUGCACUGAAAUUGACCCAAAGAGGGAAGAACAAUCCAAUCCAUUGGGGCAGAGAAUAGAUUCGCGCCCUAUAGAGGAGUAGAAGGGUAACAAACGGACUGGUGGAGAGGGAAGCAGUAUAA